UACAGAGGCCCGUAGCGUUGUUCGGAUUUACUGGGCGUAAAGGGUACGUAGGCGGCGGGGCGUGUCGAGUGUGAAAUCUCCGGGCUCAACCCGGAAAGUGCGCUCGAAACUACCCCGCUGGAGGCCGGGAGAGGGAAGGGGAAUGCAGGGUGUAGCGGUGAAAUGCGUUGAUAUCCUGCAGAACACCGGAGGCGAAGGCGCCUUCCUGGAACGGUACUGACGCUGAGGUACGAAAGUCGGGGGAGCAAAC
RNAcentral lists this ribosomal RNA (250 nucleotides) under uncultured prokaryote. RNAcentral describes it as "partial 16S ribosomal RNA". It matches the Rfam family "Bacterial small subunit ribosomal RNA", at positions 524 to 773 of the family's 1533-position model. The record is from RNAcentral.